CCUACGGGUGGCAGCAGUAGGGAAUAUUGCUCAAUGGGGGAAACCCUGAAGCAGCAACGCCGCGUGGAGGAUGAAUGUUUUCGGAUUGUAAACUCCUUUUGUUAGAGAAGAUAAUGACGGUAUCUAACGAAUAAGCACCGGCUAACUCCGUGCCAGAAGCCGCGGUAAUACGGAGGGUGCAAGCGUUACUCGGAAUCACUGGGCGUAAAGAGCGUGUAGGCGGGAUAGCAAGUCAGAUGUGAAAUACUAUGGCUUAACCAUAGAACUGCAUUUGAAACUGUUAUUCUAGAGUAUGGGAGAGGUAGGUGGAAUUCUUGGUGUAGGGGUAAAAUGCGUAGAGAUCAAGAAGAAUACUCAUUGCGAAGGCGACCUGCUAGAACAUAACUGACGCUGAUGCGCGAAAGCGUGGGGAGCAAACAGGAUUAGAUACCCCGGUAGUC
This 440-nucleotide ribosomal RNA is filed under the name uncultured bacterium. Its description in RNAcentral is "partial 16S ribosomal RNA". It matches the Rfam family "Bacterial small subunit ribosomal RNA", at positions 338 to 795 of the family's 1533-position model. The record is from RNAcentral.